This 543-nucleotide ribosomal RNA is filed under the name uncultured bacterium. RNAcentral's name for it is "bacterial SSU rRNA". It matches the Rfam family "Bacterial small subunit ribosomal RNA", at positions 777 to 1319 of the family's 1533-position model. The record is from RNAcentral.
AAUAGAUACCCAGGUAGUCCACGCCGUAAACGUUGGAUACUAGGUGUGGCGGUUAUACCAAUGACUGCCGUGCCGAAGCUAACGCAUUAAGUAUCCCGCCUGGGGAGUACGGCCGCAAGGCUAAAACUCAAAGGAAUUGACGGGUCCCCGCACAAGCGGCGGAGCAUGCGGCUUAAUUCGAUGCAACCCGAAGAACCUUACCUGGGUUUGACAUCACGGGAAAAGCUGUAGAAAUACGGUGUCCAUUAGGGCCCGUGACAGGUGGUGCAUGGCUGUCGUCAGCUCGUGUCGUGAGAUGUUGGGUUAAGUCCCGCAACGAGCGCAACCCUUGUCCUAUGUUGCCAGCGGUUCGGCCGGGGGACUCAUAGGAGACUGCCGGGGAUAACUCGGAGGAAGGUGAGGACGACGUCAAGUCAUCAUGCCCCUUAUAUCCAGGGCUGCACGCAUGCUACAAUGGCCGGUACAACGGGCAGCGACCCCGCGAGGGUGAGCGAAUCCUAAAAAGCCGGUCCUAGUUCGGAUUGAAGUCUGCAACUCGACUUC